GACUCUGUAGCUCAGUGGUUAGAGCAUGCGAUUGCAGAUCGCGGGGUCCCGUGUUCAAAUCACGGCAGGGUCU
Vararia minispora EC-137 is the source of this 73-nucleotide non-coding RNA. NCBI's taxonomy places the organism in Eukaryota, Fungi, Basidiomycota, Agaricomycetes, Russulales, Lachnocladiaceae. The record is from the annotation of a GenBank genome assembly.